Molecule: long non-coding RNA, 841 nt
Filed under: Cebus imitator (Panamanian white-faced capuchin)
Lineage: Eukaryota; Metazoa; Chordata; Mammalia; Primates; Cebidae
Description: lncRNA (ENSCCAG00000038144.1)
Source: RNAcentral
AGCUUUUGGGGACACUUUUGUGAUUAGUCUGAUGAACUGUCGCUUUAAACUUCCAUUCUAAGAUUGGCUAUUGAAACCAUUUUCACUUUUAAAACCUUAAUCUCCUUUUGCCCUGGUUCCACGCUUGCCACUAGGGAGCUGCUGGCCUACCCCAAAGGGGGCGCUCCUGGCAGUCUCUCAGGAAGAAGGCACGGUGGGCAACUUCUACCUUCAGUUCCAGAAAUGCAAACCCUCUUGAGAGCUAAAUGUGUUCUUGCAUCCUCAAAGCAGUGGGUACCAGGAGAAGAGCCAUAUUCAGAGGCAAGUGUUGGGCACAUCCAGCCUGGGCAGCCAGUUCCUGAACCUCUCUUCAGUCACCAGGCAGUAAGCGGUUUACAGACACCGAGUGACUGGUGUGUCUCAUUAGAAGACAAGAAGGCAGAACAAGGCAGGAGAUUCAAAGUCUUCAUUGCUGACCGGAGGUGGAGCGUACAUCAGAGGGCAACAAGCCAAGUGUCUAUCUUACCGUCAAAUUCCCCUGUACCUCUGCAGGACUGUCUGAGGCUUGGCGGGAUGAUGCCAAACAGACAUCAUUUAACCAGCAAGAUUGCCCUCCCUGUACUCAAAGCCUGCUGGGGGAGGAUGAGACUGGAUGGCAGUAUGGCCAAUUAAUCGUUUCCGCAAGCACGUCACAGGGAAAAUGGAUAUGUCCAGUGCCUUAUAUUCCAGCACCAGCCAGGCUCAGGUUUUGUCAGAGGUGCAGCGGAGUGUCUCUGGCAGAGUGAGCAGCAGUAGAGCUGUCAGGCCUCAGGGCCGGGAGGACUUCCCUAGAGCAUCAACAGGAGGAAGAGGCCAGCGGGAG